GCGGCAAGACGGAAAGACCCCGUGAACCUUUACUAUAGCUUGACACUGAACAUUGAGCCUUGAUGUGUAGGAUAGGUGGGAGGCUUUGAAGUGUGGACGCCAGUCUGCAUGGAGCCAACCUUGAAAUACCACCCUUUAACGUUUGAUGUUCUAACCUAGGCCCAUAAACUGGGUCGGGGACCGUGUCUGGUGGGUAGUUUGACUGGGGCGGUCUCCUCCUAAAGAGUAACGGAGGAGCACGAAGGUUGGCUAAGCAUGGUCGGACAUCAUGCGGUUAGUGCAAAGGCAUAAGCCAGCUUGACUGCGAGAGUGACGGCUCGAGCAGGUACGAAAGUAGGUCUUAGUGAUCCGGUGGUUCUGAAUGGAAGGGCCAUCGCUCAACGGAUAAAAGGUACUCCGGGGAUAACAGGCUGAUACCGCCCAAGAGUUCAUAUCGACGGCGGUGUUUGGCACCUCGAUGUCGGCUCAUCACAUCCUGGGGCUGAAGUAGGUCCCAAGGGUAUGGCUGUUCGCCAUUUAAAGUGGUACGCGAGCUGGGUUUAGAACGUCGUGAGACAGUUCGGUCCCUAUCUGCCGUGGGCGUUGGAAGAUUGAGAGGGGUUGCUCCUAGUACGAGAGGACCGGAGUGAACGCACCACUGGUGUUCGGGUUGUCAUGCCAAUGGCAUUGCCCGGUAGCUAAGUGCGGAAGAGAUAACCGCUGAAAGCAUCUAAGCGGGAAACUUGCCUCGAGAUG
This 735-nucleotide ribosomal RNA is filed under the name Proteus mirabilis. RNAcentral's name for it is "partial 23S ribosomal RNA". It matches the Rfam family "Bacterial large subunit ribosomal RNA", at positions 2072 to 2806 of the family's 2925-position model. Lineage: Bacteria; Pseudomonadati; Pseudomonadota; Gammaproteobacteria; Enterobacterales; Morganellaceae. The record is from RNAcentral.